ACGAACGCUGGCGGCAGGCCUAACACAUGCAAGUCGAGCGAGAUCUUCGGGUCUAGCGGCGGACGGGUGAGUAACGCGUGGGAAUAUGCCCUUCUCUGCGGAAUAGCCUCGGGAAACUGAGCGUAAUACCGCAUACGCCCUUUGGGGGAAAGAUUUAUCGGAGAAGGAUUAGCCCGCGUUGGAUUAGGUAGUUGGUGGGGUAACGGCCUACCAAGCCGACGAUCCAUAGCUGGUUUGAGAGGAUGAUCAGCCACACUGGGACUGAGACACGGCCCAGACUCCUACGGGAGGCAGCAGUGGGGAAUCUUAGACAAUGGGGGCAACCCUGAGCUAGCCAUGCCGCGUGAGUGAUGAAGGCCUUAGGGUUGUAAAGCUCUUUCAGCUGGGAAGAUAAUGACGGUACCAGCAGAAGAAGCCCCGGCUAACUCCGUG
Molecule: ribosomal RNA, 432 nt
Filed under: uncultured bacterium
Lineage: Bacteria
Description: partial 16S ribosomal RNA
Rfam family: Bacterial small subunit ribosomal RNA
Source: RNAcentral